AGAGUUUGAUCAUGGCUCAGAUUGAACGCUGGCGGCAGGCCUAACACAUGCAAGUCGAACGGUAACAGGAAGCAGCUUGCUGCUUCGCUGACGAGUGGCGGACGGGUGAGUAAUGUCUGGGAAGCUGCCUGAUGGAGGGGGAUAACUACUGGAAACGGUAGCUAAUACCGCAUAAUGUCGCAAGACCAAAGAGGGGGACCUUCGGGCCUCUUGCCAUCGGAUGUGCCCAGAUGGGAUUAGCUUGUUGGUGGGGUAACGGCUCACCAAGGCGACGAUCCCUAGCUGGUCUGAGAGGAUGACCAGCCACACUGGAACUGAGACACGGUCCAGACUCCUACGGGAGGCAGCAGUGGGGAAUAUUGCACAAUGGGCGCAAGCCUGAUGCAGCCAUGCCGCGUGUAUGAAGAAGGCCUUCGGGUUGUAAAGUACUUUCAGCGGGGAGGAAGGGAGUAAAGUUAAUACCUUUGCUCAUUGACGUUACCUGCAGAAGAAGCACCGGCUAACUCCGUGCCAGCAGCCGCGGUAAUACGGAGGGUGCAAGCGUUAAUCGGAAUUACUGGGCGUAAAGCGCACGCAGGCGGUUUGUUAAGUCAGAUGUGAAAUCCCCGGGCUCAACCUGGGAACUGCAUCUGAUACUGGCAAGCUUGAGUCUCGUAGAGGGGGGUAGAAUUCCAGGUGUAGCGGUGAAAUGCGUAGAGAUCUGGAGGAAUACCGGUGGCGAAGGCGGCCCCCUGGACGAAGACUGACGCUCAGGUGCGAAAGCGUGGGGAGCAAACAGGAUUAGAUACCCUGGUAGUCCACGCCGUAAACGAUGUCGACUUGGAGGUUGUGCCCUUGAGGCGUGGCUUCCGGAGCUAACGCGUUAAGUCGACCGCCUGGGGAGUACGGCCGCAAGGUUAAAACUCAAAUGAAUUGACGGGGGCCCGCACAAGCGGUGGAGCAUGUGGUUUAAUUCGAUGCAACGCGAAGAACCUUACCUGGUCUUGACAUCCACGGAAGUUUUCAGAGAUGAGAAUGUGCCUUCGGGAACCGUGAGACAGGUGCUGCAUGGCUGUCGUCAGCUCGUGUUGUGAAAUGUUGGGUUAAGUCCCGCAACGAGCGCAACCCUUAUCCUUUGUUGCCAGCGGUCCGGCCGGGAACUCAAAGGAGACUGCCAGUGAUAAACUGGAGGAAGGUGGGGAUGACGUCAAGUCAUCAUGGCCCUUACGACCAGGGCUACACACGUGCUACAAUGGCGCAUACAAAGAGAAGCGACCUCGCGAGAGCAAGCGGACCUCAUAAAGUGCGUCGUAGUCCGGAUUGGAGUCUGCAACUCGACUCCAUGAAGUCGGAAUCGCUAGUAAUCGUGGAUCAGAAUGCCACGGUGAAUACGUUCCCGGGCCUUGUACACACCGCCCGUCACACCAUGGGAGUGGGUUGCAAAAGAAGUAGGUAGCUUAACCUUCGGGAGGGCGCUUACCACUUUGUGAUUCAUGACUGGGGUGAAGUCGUAACAAGGUAACCGUAGGGGAACCUGCGGUUG
RNAcentral lists this ribosomal RNA (1522 nucleotides) under metagenome. RNAcentral describes it as "bacterial SSU rRNA". It matches the Rfam family "Bacterial small subunit ribosomal RNA". The record is from RNAcentral.